UUUUAAGGGAAUUUAGAAAGGUUUAGGGGCAAAAUUGGAAAUACAGCUGUUUCCAACGGUCUUCUUCUCUCUAUAUAUAUUGCACCGACCACUCCAUUCUUCUCUCUCUACUCAGCUUUCAGACAGAUCACAUUCCUUCUUCCCUUUCCUCCCGAUUCUCUCUGUUCAUUGGAAACGUUUCGUUUCCUUCCGAUUUCUCUCAAAUUCAAUCGACUGCUUCGACUUUGCUUCUCCGCUCGCUUCUCUGGUAAGGAUCUCCACUGCCGCUUUCUUUUUUUUCCAUUAAAGAUUCAUAUUGCAAAUCUUCUUCUUUGAUUUUGUCAAACAACUCUUUAAUAUUUGUGGUUCUUUUAAUAUUUGUGAUUCUUUUACGAGAUAAAACAUAAAAUCAUGUUCUCUGAGUCAGAUCUGGAAUCCACCGUAACACUCAUUUAGGGAAAAGUCACCAAAAUCUAAGAUCCGUGUAAUCCUUUUUCGGUAACAAACGACCAAUAAAAAAUAUUAAAAAAGAAACCCAGAAAAUCCUCUGUGAAAAUAAAAAAAACGAAAAGAGAUCAAAACCCUAGAUCUUGAAAUAAGACUGAUUACUUCUCCCUGGUUUUUCUGUAAUUAGGUUGUGUGGAGUUUUGGAUUGGAGAAUCUUGAAAUGAAUCUGUAAAAUGCAAUCUUUGUAAUGUUAUUAAGGUUUGAGCUCACCAUUACAACGUAAUGACCUCAAACCCCAUGGGGGAGUCCUAAUCAUAAUGUAUCUUUGUUUUUUAACUGGGUACAAAUUGCAAUGGUGCUGGUUCUGCUAUUUGGGGUUUGAGGGCUAAUUAUAAUGUAUAUAAUUUUCAUUUAGUUUGAGGACAAACUACAAUUGUAUAAUGGAUUGUAUUAUGUUUGUUAUUUCAAUUAUUCAGGGCUUAGAGUUGAAAUUCCAAUGUAUAUCAAUUUUUAUUGGAUGAGAAGCCUAUUGGGUUCUAUUAUUAUUAUUAUAUAUAUUAUAUAUUUUUUUAAUUAGUUGUACUCAAAUUAUGGGUUUUGGAUCUUGUGGUUGUAUUCCAUAUUACAAUAUGUAUGUAAUAUUUGUAGGCGACAAGUCUGUUUAUUUAUCUUCUAAUAUUGUUAUUAAGUUUUGUUAUAUUUUUUACAGGUUAUAUAUAAUAUUUAUAAGUUUGAGCCUAUUGGAUUGUAUUUUUAUUAUUUUCGUCAUGAUAUUACCCACAUUAUUGUAUUUGAAUAAUGGAUUUCAGAUCAUUUGGUUGUAUUUCAUAUUACAAUAUAUAUGUAAUAUUCAUAGGUAUCAAGCCUAUUGAAUUGUUUUAAUAUUGUUACGAAGUUUUGUUAUAUUUUUUACGGGUUGUAUGUAAUAGUUAUAAAGUUCGAGCUUAUUGCGUUGUAAUAUUAUUAUUAUCAUGAUGAUACGACACAUAAUAUUGUAUUUGAAUUAUGAGUUUCGGAUCAUUUGGUUGUAUUCCAUAUUACAAUAUGUAUGUAAUAUUCAUAGGUAUCAAGCCUAUUGAAUUGUUUUAAUAUUGUUACGAAGUUUUGUUAUAUUUUUUACGGGUUGUAUGUAAUAGUUAUAAAUUUCGAGCCUAUUUCGUUGUAAUAUUAUUAUUAUCACGAUGAUAUUACCCACAUUAUUGUAUUAGAAUAAUAGAUUUUGGAUCAUUUGGUUGUAUUCCAUAUUACAAUAUAUAUGUAAUAUUCAUAGGUAUCAAGCCUAUUGAAUUGUUUUAAUAUUGUUACGAAAUUUUGUUAUAUUUUUUACGGGUUGUAUGUAAUAGUUAUAAGUUUCGAGCCUAUUUCGUUUGUAAUAUUAUUAUUAUCACGAUGAUAUGACACACAAUAUUGUUUUUGAAUUAUGGGUUUCAAAUAUUUUAAUUUCAUUCAACAAUAUAAUGAAUGUAACGAAGCCCAUUGACUUGUAUUUUUUUUCUUAGAUAAUUAAACUAUAUUCUUAUUAUUAUGAAGUUUAUUAACUUUUAUGGGUUUUAUAAGUUGCUAAAUUCAGUUGUUAUUAUUAAUUUUUUUUUAAAGUUGUGGGCCGAGCACAAAUUAUAAUUUGAUUUUAACCAAGUUUAAGCAUAUGUUAUUUGUAAUAAUAUUUUUGCGAUGAAUUUCAUUAUUGUUAUUAUUUGUGAUGUAUUAUUGAGGGUUGAACCGAAUUGUAAUGCAUAUUAUAUUUUUUUGAUGUGUUUGUAAAAUUUAGUUGCAUCUAAAAUUGUAUUGACCGACAACAAAGUUUAAUCUUCAAAUUUUAACAAGCAAAUAAGAUUAAAUUAAAACAUUAUAAUAUUAAAAAUGUUAUACUAAGACAUUAUCAAUUUACUUCUUCAAUUUGAUGGUAAAUAAGACUUAAAUUGAAAUAAAAAAUAAACUGAAUUUUGUUGGUGAACAUAAUUUCCUAGUUUGUAAAUAAGAAUGUUAAUUAUUUGACAUACAAGUAUAUUUAUACAGUAUAUUGUGCUAUAUCCAGUAAUUAUAAUGUAUAAUAUUUGUGUAAAACAAUUAUCGUGUAUUGGUUUGCUAGAAAAUAGUAAUAUAAUGAAUUGUAUUCUCAAUUACAAUGAGUAUUUUUUUAGUGAGAUGAAAGUUGACGUAUUGUAAUAUUUUUAUCAGAAAGUUUCACCUACAAUUCGAUCAGAAAAAAUGAGUGCAACUACUUGCAGUUCAGUGAAAAAAAGAAAAAUUCCAAUGCAAAAACGUGAAACAAAAGAGCAGAGAGCUGUUACAUUCAGUAAAAGACGAACGGGUCUGUUUAACAAAGCAGCAGAAUUGUGUGUUCUCUGCAAUACUCAGGUUGUAAUUUUGGUUUCUGCUCCUUUGGCCAAAGAAAAGUUUUAUACUUUUGCACACCCUAACAUCAAUCUUCUUCUCGACACAUUCCUCAAUAACCAUGUCUCUCAUCCCAUCAACAAUUACAAUAAUCUUUCUACUUCUUCGUCUCAUCAAACUAUGGAGCAAUUAACUCCUAACAAUAAUGUGUCCAAGACCAAGAAGAGAAAGAGAGAGUCUGAAGAGUUUUGGUGGGAAAAUGAAGACUUUGAUGUUUACCAAACACCUGAAGAGGUGACAUCAAUCAUCGAGAAGUUAGAAAAGGUGAGAGAAAAUGUGGCGCUCAAACUUCAAAAAUUAUCAACUUCUAAUAAUCAAGAUAUUAACAGUAGCGAUCAUCAAAACUAUCAUCUUGGGUGCUUUGCUGAAAAUAUGAUGAACAUUAAUAAUGAGUACAGUAAAGAGAGUGGUGAUCAAAGUCAGUUUAUGACAUCCGUUGUGUUUCAGAAUUUAUCAACUUCUACUUAUCAUGGUAGUUGCAUUGAUCAAAAUAUAGUAGACAUUGAUGGAUUCAAGAACAAUGUUGAUUUUAUGCAAAUGUUGCCUCUAAAAUCUACUAUGCUUACACACAAUACCAACAAUGGCAGCCAAGAUAUUCAGAAUUAUCACAAUGAUAUGGGUACUACAUUUGAAGCCCCAUUAUUCUUCUCUAAUGGCGUCGAAAAUUAUCAAGAUAUUAGUAGUGGUGAUCAUCAAAACUAUCAUCUUGGGUGCUUUGCUGAAAAUAUAAUGAAUAUUAAUCAUGAGUACAAUAAUGAAAGUGGCGAUCAGAGUCAGUUUAUGCCAUCUGUUGUGUUUCAAAAUUUAUCAACUUCUACUUAUCAAGAUGGUUGCAUUGAUCAAAAUAUGGUGAACGUUGAUGGAAACAAGAACAAUGUUGCUUUUAUGCAGAUGUUGCCUCAAAACUCUACUAUGUUUACACACAAUACCAACAAUGACACCCAAGAUAUUGAGAACUAUCACUAUGAUAUGGGUACUACAUUUGAACCCCCAUUAUUCUUCUCUAAUGGUGUCGAAAAUUAUCAAGAUAUUAGUAAUGAUCAUCAAAACUAUCAUCUUGGUUGCUUUGUUGAAAAUAUAAUGAAUAUUGAUCAUGAGUACAAUGAUGAGAGUGGUGAUCAAAGUCAGUUUAUGUCAUCUGUUGUGUUUCAAAAUUUAUCAACUUCUGCUUAUCAUGGUGGUUCCAUUGAUCAAAAUAUAGUGAACAUUGAUGGAAACAAGAACAAUGUUGAUUUUAUGCAAAUGUUGCCUCUAAAAUCUACUAUGCUUACACACAAUACCAACAAUGGCAGUCAAGAUAUUGAGAAUUAUCACAAUGAUAUGGGUACUACAUUUGAAGCCCCAUUAUUCUUCUCUAAUGGCAUCGAGAGAUGUGCUACGUCUUUUUGUAUUGGUGAUCAAAAUUUUAGUUGGAUGAAUGAUAAGAUCACUACUUCAUAUAGUCAAAAUGAACAAUUUUCACCGUCCAUCUCCUCCAAUGACUUGGAUCACCAUAUUAAUACUUCUUUUGAAUGGGAGUUCAGAGAUGAGAAUCCUUCAUUUCUUCAAGAUAAUGCUACUGGAUUAGUUCCACUAUUUUCUCAUAGUGAUAAAAGCAUAGACAAGCAGAAUUUGUCUGAAUCAAAUUUUAAAGAUAAUAAUUUUUCAGUUACUGGAGCAACAACUGACAAUGACUUGUUUCUUGGUGACGACUAUGUUAAUUCUUCAACAAUGGAGGAUAACACUGAAUUUUUUUCAUUGUUGGAAUAUUUCUUUUCUAGUUGAUUGUAAGCUUUCUCUGUAUUUCCUUUGCAGUGUAAUAAAAUGUUCUUGUGGUCUCUCAACUUUUUCUUUGGCAUAUUGAUCAUAAUAUAAUUCUUAUCAUCCACUAAAUGAUGAAGUAAAUAUGUACGGAAUCAAUAUUUAUAGUCAUCAACUAUGAGAUUAAAAAAAAAAUUCAUACAAAUAUUUUAUACUAAACCAAUCAACUGCAAACUUAAAAAUCUCCCAAAUUAACUUGAAUUAAGAGUUUAUUUUAUUUUACAUUUUAAAUUAAAUAGAUCUUAUUAUUUGGGUUCUUAAUUAGUUUUAAGUUUUUAAUUAAUUAUUUUUUAAAAAAUAUUUUUUUAAAAAAUUUAUUUAUUAUAAUAUAAUUUCAUAAUAUAAGGAUAUCGGCAUUUUAUUUUUUUAAAAAAAGAAUAUCAGCAUUUAUAAUCACUAUCAUUUUUUAUUUCUUUUUUCAGUUGAGGAAACAAAAAAUAAAUAUUAGAAUAUAUUCAAAAAUUAUUAUUAAAUAUGUCAAACUAUAAAAAUAUUUUAUAAAUUAAAGUUUGAGUGAAAACUAAACCAAGCAAACGUAAGUAAACACUUUACUAAAUAUAUGAAUUAAGCCAAUCGAACAAGCGAUUAAUAUAUUUAAGCUUACCGGUACAGAUUUUAUCCCAUAAUCAUUUUAGGGAUGAUUUAAAUUAAAAAUAUAUUUUUAUAAUAAUAUAUAUUUAAUUAAUAUAUUAUUUAAAUUAGAUCGAUUUAGUUAGAAAUUUAAUUAGACAGAAAAUUUAAUUAAAUUUUAAUACUAUUCAAGUUCGAUGAGAUUUUAGAUUUUAAAAUUAUAAGAUUAUAUCAAAAUCGAAGUUUGUAAAAUUCGCUCAAGACUCCAUCUAUUGUUACCCUAAACCGUGUUCAUACCAUAUUAGAAUUGAACUUUGUGAUUCAGCCGGUUGUUUGAACUUAUGAUGGUAUAGAAUCACACGGGUCCACCACCUUUAACUCAUUGAAGAAAAGCUAGACACAACCUUCAAAAAAUUUGAAAAAAGUUUGGAUGUAUCUUCUUUUAAAAGAAAUCAUUUUACCCUGUAAGUCUUUGUUUCUUUCUAAAAAUCUAUCUGGGUGUUACCAUGAAAAUGAUGAAGGCUGUGAAGAAGCUCAAAUUCUGGUCAAGAUCCAGGAAGAAAAGGAAGUACCUUGAGGAGCCCUUCUACCCUGUUCUGGCGCACCAUUGUUGUUGCCGUUCAUGCUCCUCCGUCCAGCCCUCAGCUCCACCAUGGCCUGGUGAAUUCUCAUAUCAGAUUCAAGCUGAUGAAACAGAAAGUGUAGAAGAAAGUAAAUUAAUCCAUUCAAAAUUACCUCAAGUAGACGAAGUUAUAAUCACGAGUAGGUCAAUGUAUCAGCAAUAUAUGGUUGAAAAUCCUGUGUAUGACAUGCCUGAGCCUGUUGUUGAGAUAGUUAGAAGAGAAAGAUCAGGCGGGUACGUUCUUCAGCUGGGUUCUUGUCUGAUCCGCUGCUUCUGCCCAUGUUUCAGUACAGAAGAAGCUCAGUAAAAAAGUGAUUUUGUUAAAUUGUUAGCUUACUUCUUCCUCUAUUUUCUUCUUUUUUUUUUCUUUAAAUUCAGCAAUAGUAAAAAUAUGUUUCUGGAUAUUUUUUUUUGUAAAAAUGCAUUGUCAGUCUUAACUCUGUUGUAUCUAAUAUUUUAACGUAAUAUAAACUUUUAAUAAAAAUUCAUACCUAACUUUGGUUGCAUUCAUACCAAGCGCGGGCAAGAAAGAGCCCCAGCCAACUCCGCUCUGGACGCUAUGAGCUUCUCUAUGCAAUUCUUUAUCUCUUUCUGACUAUUUGUUCUCUGUGUAUUGCUCCUGCAAAAAAGCCAAGCAAAUAAGAGAAUCAAUGAACAAAAAAGUAGUCCUCAAAGAUGCUCAGAUUUAAAAAUACGUAAAGCCGGUGAUUCCGAGUUAUAACGACCUUGCUUCCAGGGGAAAACCAUUCUAGCAUUCCAAUAAUUUUAUCUAAUUCUUCCGAGUCAUCCAAAUCAUCAGGAACAACAAGACUCCUAUAAAGCAUAUAAUUCUUUUGAUCUUACUAAUCCCCUCAUCAACAUUGUUCAACUUGUAUUUUUAAAUCUUGAUAAAUGACCUUGGUGUGAUGUUAUCUGGUGCACAAACAUGUAGUAACUGAUUAAUAGACAAAUUAUCCGCUUAGUGAAUCAACUUUGAUGUAGCCAAUCAAACUAUAUGCCGGAAAUUUUCUGAUUUUAGACUCUGCCAUCACUUUCCUCCAAUUAGCAGCAUCUCCCCACCUUUCCCCAACAGCACUUCUAUUUGACAACACCACAUAUCGGCCACAAUGUUUUGGCUGUAAUUCAAGGACCUUCUUUCCUACCAUUUUCCAACUGAACGUCCCCAUGAAUCUUACAAGCACCAAAAAGAGCUCCUAAAACAGAGGCAUCAGGCAUGAAGGGCAUGCUAAGUGCAAACCCAACUGCAUCUCUCAGAAUUCCUGCUCUGUCCAAUAGAUCAACAACACAACCAUAAUGCUCCAUUAUUGGUACAACCCAAUAUCGACUUGACAUUGACGGAAACAACUUCAAACCCAAGUCAACAAGUUUAGCUCGAGCACAAGCAGUAAGAAUAGCAACAAAGGUAACCUCAUUGGGGCAAAAUCCUUGCGCUUUCAUCUUCUCAAACAUAUAUAGAGCUUGCUUCCCCCUACCAUUGCAGUCCAAGUGAAAACCUCUUUAACCUCUAUCCGAUUGAAUACUCUUAUUGCAGUCUCCAAACAACCUGCCUUUCCAUACAAAUCUACCAACGCAGCCCCCACGACAGCGCUCAAACAUAUCCAUGUAUCUGCUUCCCUUGAUAAAGACCAGUUCCAUCUAAAUUAGCACAAGAAGACAGCACGGUAACAAAUGCAGCCUCAUUAGGCUUCACGGAACCGCGGACCACAUCCUCGUGAACCACCAUCUUUGCCAAAAGUGGCAAUGCAUCAACAAAGCGUCCAUUCAUCACGAACCCAUUAAUGACACUCGUCCAUGAAACCACGUCCUUCUCAUUAAACACCACAAUACAUGGAUGGGGAAUUUCCACAAACAUCUUACGUGCAUUGAGUAUGUCACACACUUCGGCAACUCCACCCUCACGCAUGAAGUUUGCACAUAUGGGUCGCAUAAAACACCCCAUUUGAGAGCCUGAGCAUGGAGAAUUGAGCCAUAUGAGGGAAGCAAGAAGCAGCUUUGAUUAGAGAUGGGAAAGUGAGAUGGUUUGGUGAAAGUCCAUGCGCAAUCAUGCGGGUGAAAAGUAGUAAAGAAGUACGAGAGAGUCCCGUAGAGAGAUAAGAUCAAAUGAGAGUGUUGUAAAUGAGAACGGUGUUCCAUGAAGAAGUGUGGUUGAGGAGAGAGCCGCGGGUGAUAAGAAGGGAAUGAAUCUGUUUGAUCUGGUUGGGACAGUGGAUGAAAUGCUGGAGAAGAAGCUCUGGACUUGAAUAUCCAGAAAACCCACCUGUUACCAGAAGCUUUAAAAUCAAAACUUGAUUACAUGCCUGUUCUUGUCCACCAUCUGCCCAGUUCAUAUAUUAUUAGCAUUCUUGUUCAUAUUUGUUAAUUACAAGAUUUUUGGAUCAAAUUAACAUUUUCUCAUGCUUCUUUCAAUUCAUAUAUAUAUAUAUAUAAAUUUAAUUCCAACCAAAAAUGAAGAAAAUUCUUUUAGUUUACAACUAUUUUUCAAUCUUUCUAAGUUUUCUAACGAAAAACAAAUCCUACGUUGAGAAUUUUUAUUUAGUUUUUAACACUGUGUAUAUUCAUUAAAAUCGAGUCUAAAAGAAUUAUGAACUCAACUUGAAAAAAAACUUUAACAUUAACAAGAUCGAAAACAAAAUUAAUAUUUUAAGUUAUAAAACUUACACAUUAAAAACUAGAAAAUAACCAACCCUAACACCCAAAGAAAAGAAAACGAUAAAAGUAUCCAUGAAGGUUCGGCUCAUUGACAAUUACAAAUUACCAUCUUCAAUUCAUUGACAAUAAUCAUAAAUUACCCUUUUCAAAAAUUCUUAUAUUUCAUUUCGGUCCUUCUAUCUUCGUUUCUCCGCUAAUUUUCUGUAAGGAUUAAUUUGCAAUCGUUAUGCUUGCAACAUCAUUAUGAAAAUUUUUUGCCAUUGUGCAAUAUUUUUACAGUCAAUCGCUUCAGACUUUUCGAGUGUUUGACCUGAUCAUCUUUUAUGCAGAAAAAAUAUAGUAAUAACUCACUUAUUUGGAGUGAUGUUUGGAGAUUGCAAGCUUUAAAUAACAUUUUUAAUAAGAAUGAGAUUGUCAAAUCUUACUAAUUGAACAAAAGCUCAAAGUUCUACAUAAGGAAAAAGAGUUGACAGCCAAACUAUUACCAUAACUUUCGUAAAAUAUAUUUUUUGUGUAAAACUUUAAACUCUACAAAACUAAGGCAAAGUACAAGUUAAUCUAUUGUUGGUUCUGGGUGCUAAUAUAUGAAUGUUCCUGUAGAAGUCUAUCGGAAGUAAGUCGUGCAAGAGGUCAGAAGAAAGGGAAAACACGAUAUGGGAUUUUGUCUGUAGCAAGAUUCUGGUGGACAGAUUGGAGCUGCUAGCGGUAGCUGUUGUUUUCCUCACACGACUUUAUGCAUCAUGUUUAGGUGCAGAUGAUAUUUAGUAAAAAAUAUUUCAUCAGGAAAAAGUGAGACUUGCCUUAUAAAGAAUUUGGGUAUUGCAGUUUUACUGUUUUGUUUUGGCAAGGGAGUGCUUAGUGCUGGUUUAAGUUUUGAGUAAAGAUUAAAAAGUAGUCAGCUCCACCUUUUUUGCAUGAUAUUAAUCAAGGGCUAUAUGCUCUUCCAUCUCAAGUUAUUUUUCUUUUUUGUUCCUUUUAAUUUUUUCUAUGAAUGGGUUGGAUGAGAUGGUACGGUUGGCUUCUGUAUAUAAAUAAUAUAUACAUUUCAUCUCUUUUGAUUUCCAGUACAUGAAUAUUUGACUUGUGAGCAGCUUCUACUGAAAGAGGCUAUUGAAGCAGGUAGCUUUUUUGGUUUUACCUUAUUUCAAUUUAUUCUUCUAUUGAUCCGGAUACAUGUUUAAGUUGUUUUGUUUUUCUUUUCGAGAUUUUCUAUAAUUUUUUACGUGAUUACUCCUCACUGAGUAUCCUAUUAUGUCAUGGAUUGGAAUAUAAUAAGUGAUAAUUCUUCAUUACUGCUAUCAAUGGACAUUAAUUAGGUCAGUAGUAAGGAGAUAUAUAUACUAUUCUAUUUUUUUUAAUCCUGAGUUUGAUUUAUUAGGGGGAGUUUAGGAAUUAGAAUCCUAAAUACAUUAGGUCAAUGUAGAGGAGUGAGUAAGUUAGCAUUUUGAGAAAGAGAUAAUACAAAGUAUAAGAAAUUAGAAAAAACAGUAAAAUAUUUUUAAUUAAAUAUUAAUGCUAUUUAAUUUAUUAUUUUAAAUUUAAUUUUUAGGAAAAAUAAAUAAUAAUUUUUAAAUAUCUAUUUUGUUUUGGUUUAAUUUUAAAAAUAAUAUAUUUUUUUUCUAAAAAAUUCUGUAAUUGACCAAUCUCUUUUUUAAUUUAAAUUUGUAAGUUUAUGAUUAAUUUAUUAUUUUUAUGAUUUUUUUUUGUAUUUUUAAUUUGUUUGUUAUACAUUAUUAUUUUGCUUGCAAAUUAUAGUUAUAAUUAUAAUUAUAAUUAUAAUUAAAUUAAAUUAAAUUAAUUUAAUAGCCCAGUUUUUUCCAACCCAUAACCUACAAACGACAGCGUUUUGGAAGAGGUUAUUGGCGGCAAAAGGGGGGGUUUAAAGGGAAUUUAGAAAGGUUUAGGGGCAAAAUUGGAAAUACAGCUGUUUCCAACGGUCUUCUUCUCUCUAUAUAUAUUGCACCGACCACUCCAUUCUUCUCUCUCUACUCAGCUUUCAGACAGAUCACAUUCCUUCUUCCCUUUCCUCCCGAUUCUCUCUGUUCAUUGGAAACGUUUCGUUUCCUUCCGAUUUCUCUCAAAUUCAAUCGACUGCUUCGACUUUGCUUCUCCGCUCGCUUCUCUGGUAAGGAUCUCCACUGCCGCUUUCUUUUUUUUUUUUCCAUUAAAGAUUCAUAUUGCAAAUUUUCUUCUUUAAUUUUGUCAAACAACUCUUUAAUAUUUGUGGUUCUUUUAAUAUUUGUGAUUCUUUUACGAGAUAAAACAUAAAAUCAUGUACUCUGAGUCAGAUCUGGAAUCCACCGUAACACUCAUUUAGGGAAAAGUCACCAAAAUCUAAGAUCCGUGUAAUCCUUUUUCGGUAACAAACGACCAAUAAAAAAUAUUAAAAAAGAAACCCAGAAAAUCCUCUGUGAAAAUAAAAAAACGAAAAGAGAUCAAAACCCUAGAUCUUGAAAUAAGACUGAUUACUUCUCCCUGGUUUUUCUGUAAUUAGGUUGUGUGGAGUUUUGGAUUGGAGAAUCUUGAAAUGAAUCUGUAAAAUGCAAUCUUUGUAAUGUUAUUAAAGUUUGAGCUCACCAUUACAACGUAAUGGCCUCAAACCCCAUGGAGGAGUCCUAAUCAUAAUGUAUCUUUGUUUUUUAACUGGGUACAAAUUGCAAUGGUGGUGGUUCUGCUAUUUGGGGUUUGAGGACUAAUUAUAAUGUAUAUAAUUUUUAUUUAGUUUGAGGACAAACUACAAUUGUAUAAUGGAUUGUAUUAUUACAGGUUCUCUGCGUAUUAUUAUGUUUGUUAUUUCAAUUAUUCAGGAUUUAGAGUUAAAAUUCCAAUGUAUAUCAAUUUUUAUUGGAUGAGAAGCCUAUUAGGUUCUAUUAUUAUUAUUAUAUAUUUUUUCAAUUAGUUGUACUCAAAUUAUGGGUUUUGGAUCUUGUGGUUGUAUUCCAUAUUACAAUAUGUACGUAAUAUUUGUAGGCGUCAAGUCUGUUUAUUUAUCUUCUAAUAUUGUUAUUAAGUUUUGUUAUACUUUUUACAGGUUGUAUAUAAUAUUUAUAAGUUUUGAGCCUAUAGGAUUGUAUUUUUAUUAUUUUCGUCAUGAUAUUACCCACAUUAUUGUAUUUGAAUAAUGGAUUUCGGAUCAUUUGGUUGUAUUCCGUAUUACAAUAUAUAUGUAAUAUUCAUAGGUAUCAAGCCUAUUGAAUUGUUUUAAUAUUGUUAGGAAGUUUUGUUAUAUUUUUUACGGGUUGUAUGUAAUAGUUAUAAAGUUCGAGCCUAUUGCGUUGUAAUAUUAUUAUUAUCAUGAUGAUAUGACACACAAUAUUGAUUUUGAAUUAUGGGUUUCAAAUAUUUUAGUUUCAUUCAACAAUAUAAUGAAUGUAACGAAGCCCAUUGACUUGUAUUUUUUGUCUAUAUAAUUAAACUAUAUUCUUAUUAUUAUGAAGUUUAUUAACUUUUAUGGGUUUUAUAAGUUGCUAAACUCAGUUGUAUUAUUAUUAUUAUUAACGAGCACAAAUUAUAAUUUGAUUUUAACUAAGUUGAAGUGUAUGUUAUUUGUAUUGACAUGGAGCCGAAUGGGAUUGUAAUAAUAUUUUUGCGAUGAAUUUUAUUAUUGCUAUUAUUUAUGAUAUAUUAUGGAGAGUUGAACCGAAUUGUAAUGCAUAUUAUAUUUUUUUGAUGUGUUUGUAAAAUUUAAUUGCAUCUAAAAUUGUAUUGACCGACAACAAGGUUUAAUCUUCAAAUUUUAACAAGCAAAUAAGAUUAAAUUAAAAUAUUAUAAUAUUAAAAAUGUUAUACUAAGACAUUAUCAAUUUACUUCUUCAAUUUGAUGGUAAAUAAGACUUAAAUUGAAAUAAAAAAUAAACUGAAUUUUGUUGGCGAACUUAAUUUCUUAGUUUGUAAAUAAGAAUGUUAAUUAUUUGACAUACAAGUAUAUUUAUACAGUAUAUUGUGCUAUAUCCAGUAAUUAUAAUGUAUAAUAUUUGUGUAAAACAAUUAUAGUGUAUUGGUUUGCUAGAAAAUAGUAAUAUAAUGAAUUGUAUUCUAAAUUACAAUAAGUAUUUUUUUAGUGAGAUGAAAGUUGACGUAUUGUAAUAUUUUUAUCAGAAAGUUUCACCUACAAUUCGAUCAGAAAAAAUGAGUGCAACUACUUGCAGUUCAGUGAAAAAAAGAAAAAUUCCAACGCAAAAACGUGAAACAAAAAAGCAGAGAGUUGUUACAUUCAGUAAAAGAGGAACGGGUCUGUUUAACAAAGCAGCAGAAUUGUGUGUUCUCUGCAAUGCUCAGGUUGUAAUUUUGGUUUCUGCUCCUUUGGCCAAAGAAAAGUUUUAUACUUUUGCACACCCUAACAUCAAUCUUCUUCUCGACACAUUCCUCAAUAACCAUGUCUCUCAUCCCAUCAACAAUUACAAUAAUCUUUCUACUUCUUCGUCUCAUCAAAAUAUGGAGCAAUUAACUCCUAACAAUAAUGUGUCCAAGACCAAGAAGAGAAAGAGAGAGUCUGAAGAGUUUUGGGGGGAAAAUGAAGACUUUGAUGUUUACCAAACACCUGAAGAGGUGACAUCAAUCAUCGAGAAGUUAGAAAAUGUGAGAGAAAAUGUGGCGCUCAAACUUCAAAAAUUAUCAACUUCUAAUAAUCAAGAUAUUAACAGUAGCGAUCAUCAAAACUAUCAUCUUGGGUGCUUUGCUGAAGAUAUAAUGAACAUUAAUAAUGAGUACAGUAAAGAGAGUGGUGAUCAAAGUCAGUUUAUGACAUCCGUUGUGUUUCAGAAUUUAUCAACUUCUACUUAUCAUGGUAGUUGCAUUGAUCAAAAUAUAGUGGACAUUGAUGGAUUCAAGAACAAUGUUGAUUUUAUGCAAAUGUUGCCUCUAAAAUCUACUAUGCUUACACACAAUACCAACAAUGACAGCCAAGAUAUUGAGAAUUAUCACAAUGAUAUGGGUACUACAUUUGAAGCCCCAUUAUUCUUCUCUAAUGGCGUCGAAAAUUAUCAAGAUAUUGGUAGUGGUGAUCAUCAAAACUAUCAUCUUGGGUGCUUUGCUGAAAAUAUAAUGAAUAUUAGUCAUGAGUACAAUAAUGAAAGUGGCGAUCAGAGUCAGUUUAUGUCAUCUGUUGUGUUUCAAAAUUUAUCAACUUCUACUUAUCAAGAUGGUUGCAUUGAUCAAAAUAUGGUGAACGUUGAUGGAAACAAGAACAAUGUUGCUUUUAUGCAGAUGUUGCCUCUAAACUCUAUUAUGUUUACACACAAUACCAACAAUGGCACCCAAGAUAUUGAGAACUAUCACUGUGAUAUGGGUACUACAUUUGAACCCCCAUUAUUUUUCUCUAAUGGCAUCGAGAGAUGUGCUACGUCUUUUUGUAUUGGUGAUCAAAAUUUUAGUUGGAUGAAUGAUAAGAUCACUACUUCAUACAGUCAAAAUGAACAAUUUUCACCAUCCUUCUCCUCCGAUGACUUGGAUCACCAUAUCAAUACUUCUUUUGAGUGGGAAUUCAGAUAUGAGAAUCCUUCAUUUCUUCAAGAUAAUGCUACUGGAUUAGUUCCACUAUUUUCUCAUAGUGAUAAAGGCAUAGACAAGCAGAAUUUGUCUGAAUCAAAUUUUAAAGAUAAUAGUUUUUCAGUUACUGGAGCAACAACUGACAAUGACUUGCUUCUUGGUGACGACUAUGUUAAUUCUUCAACAAUGGAGGAUAACACUGAAUUUUUUUCAUUGUUGGAAUCUUUCUUUUCUAGUUGAUUGUAAGCUUUCUCUGUAUUUCCUUUGCAGUGUAAUAAAAUGUUCUUGUGAUCUCUCAAUUUUUUCUUUGGCAUAUUGAUCAUAGUUUAAUUCUUAUCAUCCCCUAAAUGAUGAAGUAAAUGUGUACGGAAUCAAUAUUUAUAGUCAUCAACUAUGAGAUUAAAAAAGAAAAAUUCAUACAAAUAUUUUAUACUCGACCAAUCAACCCCAAACUUAAAAAUCUCCCAAAUUAACUAGAAUUAAGAGUUAAUUUUAUUUUAUAUUUUAAAUUAAAUAGCUCUUACUUAUUAUUUGGGUUCUUAAUUAGUUUUAAAUUUUUAAUUAAUUAUUUUUUAAAAAAUAUUUAGAACAAAAUUUUAUUUAUUAUAAUAUAAUUUCAUAAUAUAAGGAUAUCGGCAUUUUAUUUUUCUAAAAAAAGAUAUCAACAUUUAUAAUUACUAUCAUUUUUUAUUUCUUUUUUCAGUUGAAAAAACAAAAAAUAAAUAUUAGAAUAUAUUCAAAAAUUUAUGUCAAACUAUAAAAAUAUUUUAUAAAUUAAAGUUUGGGUGAAAACUAAACCAAACAAACGUAAAUAAACACUUUACUAAAUAUAUGAAUUAAGCCAAUCGAACAAGCGAUUAAUAUAUUUAAACUUACCGGUAAAGAUUUUAUCCCAUAAUCAUUUUAGGGAUGAUUUAAAUUAAAAAUAUAGUUUUAUAGUAAUAUAUAUUUAAUUUAAAUAACAUAUUUAUAUAUAAUAUAUUAUUUAAAUUAUGUAGAUUUAAUCAGAAAUUUAAUUAGAUACAAAAUUUAAUUAAAUUUUAAUACUACUCAAGUUUAAUGAACUUUUAGAUUUUAAAAUUAUAAGAUUAUAUCGAAAUCGAAGUUUAUAAAAUUCGCUCAAGAUUCCAUCUAUUGUUACCCUAAACCGUGUUCAUACCAUAUUAGAAUUGAACUUUGUGAUUCAGCCGGUUGUUUGAACUUAUGAUGGUAUAGAAUCACACGGGUCCACCACCUUUAACUCAUUGAAGAAAAGCUAGACACAACGGUCAAAAAAUUUGAAAAAAGUUUGGAUGUAUCUUCUUUUAAAAGAAAUCAUUUUACCCUAUAAGUCUUUGUUUCUUUCUAAAAAUCUAUCUGGGUGUUACCAUGAAAAUGAUGAAGGCUGUGAAAAAGCUCAAAUUCUGGUCAAGAUCCAGGAAGAAAAGGAAGUACCUUGAGGAGCCCUACUACCCUGUUCUGGCGCACCAUUGCUGUUGCUGUUCAUGCUCCUCCGUCCAGCCCUCAGCUCCUCCAUUGCCACCAUGGCCUGAUGAAUUCUCAUAUCAGAUUCAAGCUGAUAAAACAGAAGGUGUAGAAGAAAGUAAAUUAAUCCAUUCAAAAUUACCUCAAGUAGACGAAGGUAUAAUCACAAGUAGGUCAAUGUAUCAGCAAUAUAUGGUUGAAAAUCAUGUGUAUGACAUGCCUGAGCCUGUUGUUGAGAUAGUUAGAAAAGAAAGAUCAGGCGGGUACGUUGUUCUUCAGCUGGGUUCUCGUCUGAUCCGCUGCUUCUGCCCAUGUUUCAGUAUAGAAGAAGCUAGGUAAAAAAGUGAUCUUCUUAAUUUGUUAGCAUACUUCUUCCUCCUAUUUUUUUUUUUUUAAAUUAAGCAAAGGUAAAAAUAUGUUCUGUACCUUUUUUUUGUGAAAAAGAAUUUUCAAUCUUAACUUUAUUGUACCUAAUAUUUUAAUGUAAUAUAAAGUUUUAAUAAAAAUUCAUACCUAACUUUGGUUGCAUUCACACCAAGCGCGGGCAAGAAAGAGCCUCAGCCAACUCCACUGUGGACGCUAUGAGCUUCUCUAUGCAAUUCUUUCUCUCUUUCUGACUAUUUGUUCUCUGUGUAUUUGCUCUUGCAAAAAAGCCAAGCAAAUAUGAGAAUCAAUGAACAAAAAAUUAGUCCUCAAAGAUGCUCAGAUUUAAAAAUACGUAAAGCUGGUGAUUCCUAAUUAUAAUGAUUUUGCUUCCAGGGGAAAACCAUUCUAGCAUUCCAAUUAUUUUAUCUAAAUGUCCCGAGUCAUCCACAUCAUCGGGAACAACAAGAACUCCUAUAAAGCAUAUAAUUCUUUUUUAUCUUACUAAUCCCCUCAUCAACAUUGUUGAACUUGUAUUUCUAAAUCUUGAUAAAUCCAAAAGAAGUUGUUCUUGUAAGUGAAGCAAACCGUGGAAAUUGUGCAGCAGUUGCUCUGACGUCUGCAAGAAAUCUUCUGUCUCUGAAUUUUUAAAUGUUCAUGUUAUAAACAGUCUUAGCAAAUAUCGUCUUCCCUGUCCCUGCAAUCCCACUUGCUAUGUCAACUCCAUUUGAUCCAUCUUGAGUUCAGGCUUGAUUUCUUCUCCAAGAUCAUCUCUUCCAACUAACUAUUGGGUGACAUCGAACAGUGCCUCAUGCCUGCCUAGAGAAAAAAAAAACGAAAGUUAUGAUUGUUUCCCAACUGCUGAAAUUUAGUAAAAAUCUCAACAAGCAGAGAACGUAGAGUUUUGAAAAUAACAGUUACACUAACCAAGUAAAUAUAAUUUAUUAUAUGCACAGUUAUCCAUGUAAAUUGAUAAUUUAAAUUUGAGAAGUGUGUUAUGGAGCACAUAUAAAAAUAAAAAUCCAUAAAACACAGGAAACUUAUAUAUUUCACAAUGCUUUCGACAAAAUUAUGGCCGUGUCUCUAAACCCUCUGCUCUAGAAUUAACACAAAGAAAAUGCAUGGUAAUAGUUUGUAGUUUAUUGAGAAGAAAGCUGAGAUCAAGCUUACAUAUGUCACAAAAAUCAUUCCUCCCAAGUCAGCAACCUCCCUCGCAGCACCUCAGCUGUUGUAUUUUGUUCUUUACAUCUUUUAGGUGCUCUUCAUGUGCGGCAAUUGUUUCAGAAAAACUCCCUCGCAGUAUACUUCCUAACAUGUGUUGGAUCUACUUCAUAGAACACUGGCAAGAUAUCUGUUCAGUGGUUCUCCUGUGUUACAUGAUCUUACCUAGUUCAUCAGGAAACCACAGAGAAGAGUCACAAUUUUAGGAGAAGAUAAUUAUUUAUAUUGAGACUCCAAUGGCUUUUUCAAGUUAUUUUAUUCAUAUCCUUUCCUCUUUCAACCCCAUCAUCAUAUUUAGAUGUACGAAUUCCUGCCCGCAGUAGGGCCCUAUAAAGGUGAUCCGUGAAGCUCCAGCACCUCGUAAACUUAAGAACAUAUACUAAGCAUAUCCAGAACAUGAGGAGGAAGCUCGCUGCUCUGCACUCGCUGCAUCCAUUGAUAACCAAAAAUUUCAGGAGUAUCGAUUGAAAGCAGAUGGGUGAUGAAUAGAUAAUAAAGCACCAAGGAUCGACAUAAAUUUGUUGGCUCAAGCAAAUCAAUUAUGAUAUUUUUUUGGAGGAAAUUUCCACUUUAACAAUCAUGAUAAGCCAGUGAGCUAAAUCACAUCUUACCAUUUGCCUUUAACAAAAUUUCCGUCUUCUUUAAUUACUCCAACAAUGCAUUUUAGCUUUUACAAGGUAUUAAUUAAUAACUACAUGUGAUAAAUACAGAGGACUUUUAGGUAUUCUUGAUUAGAUCCUAGAAUUGAUCGGAUCCUAGAGUUCUCUUCUAGGACCAAUUAUCAUUUAAGUACCAUAACUUCAUACUACAUUAAAAAUUAUCCAUAAGAUUUUGAGUUCCAUUCAAUUAGAUACUCUAAUCUUUAAUUAGUCUCCCAAUACAUCUAUCACCAUACAAAUACCUGAAGAAAAUCUCAUCCCUAACAGUCUAACCAUGUAAAUGCUUCCUUUUAUAAAUGCCACCUUAAUUUAAGUUAACAUAAUAAUUAGAAAGGGCUUUGCAAACCCUCCAGCUUCAUCCUCAUGCAUCAUCAUCUAUGAAAAAACCUAAUUGCCUUACUAAAAGCAAUUCACAAACUAAUUAAUAAUACUUAAUCCAUUAACACAUCCUUCCUAGGAAAACUUUCUGAAUAAAAAUAGCAAAUUCAUGUCUCAAGAAUCGAUUCCACAUAUAAAAUAAUUCUAAAAACGUUUUACGUGUUUUAUCUAUCACUCACAUAUAAAAUUUGCUUCAUAUUCACAUAAACAACUCAGUAGUCAACCAAAUCUAUCAAUUGUCACUUAUAGAAAUUAUGACCUAAAAAUCCCUUCUAGUAUCUGUAUUCCCAUAUACUAGGUUAAUCUUACAACUAGAGGAAAAAAGAUAAAUCACAUCAGAAUCCCGGAUGUAGAAACCUUACUCAAAUUCGGUCAAUAGGUAAAUGUCCUUUGUGUGAUGUUAUCUGGUGCACAAACAUGUAUGAACUGAUUAAUAGACAAAUUAUCCGCUUAGUGAAUCAACUUUGACCGAGCCAAUCAAACUACAUGCUGGAAUUUUUCGGAUUUUAGACUCUGCCAUCACUUUCCUCCAAUUAGCAGCAUCUCCCCACCUUUCCCCAACGGCACUUACAUCUGACAACACGAAAUAUCGGCCACAAUGUUUUGGCUGUAAUUCCCAACUGAGCUUCUUUCCUACUUCAUUUCCCAACUGAACGUCCCCAUGAAUCUUACAAGCACCAGAAAGAGCUCCCAAAACAGAGGCAUCAGGCAUGAAGGGCAUGCUAAGUGCAAACCCAACUGCAUCUCUCAGAAUUCCUGCUCUGCCCAAUAGAUCAACAACACAGCCAUAAUGCUCCAUUAUUGGUACAAUCCCAUAUCGACUUGACACUGACGGAAACAACUUCAAACCCAAGUCAACAGGUUUUGCUCGAGCACAAGAUGUAAGAAUAGCAACAAAGGUAACCUCAUUGGAGCAAAAUCCUUGCACUUUCAUCUUCUCAAACAUACAUAGAGCUUGCUUCGCCCUGCCAUGACAGGCAAGUGAAGAAAUCAUUGGAUUCCAAGUGAAAACCUCUUUAACCUCUAUCCGAUUGACUACUCUUUUUGCAGUCUCCAAACAACCUGCCUUUCCAGACAAAUCUACCAACGCAGCCCCCACGACAGCGCUCAAACUGAACCCAUUCUUAACAACAUAUCCAUGUAUCUGCUUCCCUUGAUAAAGACCAGUUCCAUCUAAAUUAGCACAAGAAGACAGCACAGUAACAAAUGUAGCCUCAUUAGGCUUCACGGAACCGCGGACCACAUCCUCGUGAUCCAUCAUCUUUGCAAAAAUCCGCAAUGCAUCAAGUCCAUUCAUCACGAACCCAUUAAUAACACUCGCCCAUGAAACCACAUCCUUCUCGGGCAUGCUCUGGAAAUACAGAAAAGCAGAACCCAUGUCUCCAUUCCUCCCAAAAGCGUCAAGUAAAGCAUUACACGCUACAAUACAUGGAUGAGGAAUUUCCACAAACAUCUCACGUGCAUUGCGUAUGUCACACACUUCGUCGUCACACAUUCACGGAUGAAGUUUGCACAAAUGGGUCGCAUAAAACACCCCAUUUGAGAGCAUGAGCAUGGAGAAUUGGACCAGAUGAGGGAGAGCAAGAAGCAGCUUUGAUUAGAGAUGGGAAAGUGAGAUGGUUUGGUGAAAGUCCCUGUGAAAUCAUGCGGGUGAAAAGUAGUAAAGAAGUACGAGAGAGUCCCGUAGAGAGAUAAGAUCAAAUGAGAGUGUUGUAAAUGAGAACGGUGUUCCAUGAAGAAGUGUGGUUGAGGAGAGAGCCGCGGGUGAUAAGAAGGGAAUGAAUCUGUUUGAUCUGGUUGGGACAGUGGAUGAAAUGCUGGAGAAGAAGCUCUGGACUUGAAUAUCCAGAAAACCCACCUGUUACCAGAAGCUUUAAAAUCAAAACUUGAUUACAUGCCUGUUCUUGUCCACCAUCUGCCCAGUUCAUAUAUUAUUAGCAUUCUUGUUCAUAUUUGUUAAUUACAAGAUUUUUGGAUCAAAUUAACAUUUUCUCAUGCUUCUUUCAAUUCAUAUAUAUAUAUAUAUAUAUAUAAAUUUAAUUCCAACCAAAAAUGAAGAAAAUUCUUUUAGUUUACUAUUUAUUUUGUGUGUUUUAAAAUAAUAAUAAUUAUUAAAUUUUAUUAAACUUAACGAGAAAAAUAUAUUUAUUUUAUUUAAUCUAUUCAAUCAUAUUAUUAAUAAAUUAAAAAAAGUUCGAUUACAACUAUUUUUCAAUCUUUCUAAUUUUUUUAAUGAAAAACAAAUCCUACUUAGAGAAUUUUUAUUAAGUUUUUAACACUUUGUAUAUUAAUUAAAAUCGAGUCUAAAAGAAUUAUGAACUCAACUUGAAAAAAAACUUUAACAUUCACAAGAUCGAGAACAAAAUUAAUAUUUUAAGUUAUAAAACUUACACAUUAAAAACUAGAAAAUAACCAACCCUAAUACCCAAAGAAAAGAAAGCGAUAAAAGUAUCCAUGAAGGUUCGGCUCAUUGAAAAUCACAAAUUACCAUCUUCAAUUCAUUGACAAUAAUCAUAAAUUACCCUCUUCGAAAAUUCUUAUAUUUCAUUUCGGUCCUUCUAUCUUCGUUUCUCCGCUAAUUUUUCAUAAUGAUUAAUUUGCAAUCGUUAUGCUUGCAACAUCAUUGUGAAAAUUGUCUACCACUGUGCAAUAUGCUUGCAGUCAAUUGCUUCAGACUUUUGGAGUAUUUGACUCGAUCAUCUUAUAUGCAUAAAUAAUAUAGUAAUACCCCACUCAUUUAGAGUGUUAUCUUGAGGUUGUAGGUUUUAGAGAGACUUUUUAAAAAGCAUGAGAUUGUCAAAUCUUACUAAUUGAACACUAGCUCAGAGUUCUACAACAAAGAAAAAAAAAAAAUUGACAGCCAAACUAUUACCAUAACCUUCGUAAAAUACAUUUUUGUGUAAAACUUUGAGCUUCACAAGACUAGGGCAAAGAACAAGUUCAUCUAUUGUUAGUUCCGGGCUAUAAUAUAUGAAUGUUCAUGCAUAAGCCUAUGGGAAGUAAGUCAUGCAAGAGGUCAGAAUAAAGGAAACACACGAUAUGGAGUUUUGUCUGUAGUAGGAUUUUGGUGGACAGAUUGGAACUGCUAGGAGUAGCUGCUGUAUUCCUCACACGACUUUAUGUAUCUUGUUUAGGUGGAGUAUGGUAUUUAGUGAAAAAUAUUUCAUCAGGAAAGAAUGAGACUUGCCUUAUAAAGACUUUGGGUAUUGCAGUUUUACUGUUUUGUUUCGGCAAUGGAGUGCUUAGUGCUGGUUCAAGUUUUGGGUAAAGACUGAAAACUAGUCAGCUCCACCUUCCUUGCAUGAUAUUAAUCAAGGGCUAUAUGCUCUUCCAUCUCAAGUUGUUUUUCUUUUUUGUUCCUUUUAUUUUUUCUACGAAUGAGCUGGAUGAAAUAGUACGGUUGGCUUCUAUAUAUAAAUAAUAUAUACCUUUAAUCUCUUUUGAUUUUCGGUACAUGAAUAUAUGACUUGUGAACAGCUUCUCCUGAAGGAAAUUAUUGAAGCAGGUAGUCUCUUUUAUUUUAUCUUAUUUCAACUUAUUCUUCUAUUGAUCCGAAUACAUAUUUAAGUUAUUUUGUUUUUCUUUUCGAGAUUUUCUAUAGUUUUUUAUGUGAUUAUUCCUUACUGAGUAUCCUAUUAUGGUAUAGAUUGGAAUAUAAUAAGUAAUAAUUUUUCAUUACUGCUAUCAAUGAACAUUAAUUAGAUAAGUUGUAAGGGAAUAUAUAUACUAUUCUAUUUUUUCUAUUCUGAGUUUGAUUUAUUAAGGGGAGUUUAGGAAUCAGAAUCUUAAAUUCAUUAGAUCAAUGUGGAAGAGUCAUUAAGUUAACAUUUUGAGACAAUAAAAUAUUUUUAUUAAAUAUUAGUGCAAUUUAAUUUGUUGUUUUAAAUUUAAUUUAUUAGUAUUAUUUGUGAUAUUGUUUCAAAAUUAUUUUUAAAAAAAUCAUGUCUUCAUAUAAUAUUUAACCUUCACCUUGAAAAAAUUAAAAUAAUGAUAUAUUUAAUUAACUAAUUUGAUAAUAUACAUUCAAUUUAAUAUUUAUUCGUAUAGUCGUAUAAUUUAAUAAAUUAUUAAAUAUAAAGAUAAAGAUAUAAGAUAUUUAUUAUUAAGUAUACUUUUAUAAUAGCUUUAGUUUCAAAGUUUGAUUUAAUAGUUAAAUUUAAUUUUUAGGAAAAAUAAAUAAUAAUUUUUAAGUAUAUAUUUUAUGAUUUUUUUGGUAUUUUUAAUUUGUUUGUUAUACAUUAUUAUUUUGCUUGCAAAUUAUAGUUAUAAUUAUAAUUAUAAUUAAAUUAAUUUAAUAGCCCAGUUUUUUCCAACCCAUAACCUACAAACGACAGCGUUUUGGAAGAGGUUAUUGGCGGGAAGGGGGAGGGUUUAAAGGGAAUUUAGAAAGGUUUAGGGGCAAAAUUGGAAAUACAGCUGUUCCCAACGGUCUUCUUCUCUCUAUAUAUAUUGCACCGACCACUCCAUUCUUCUCUACUCAGCUUUCAGACAGAUCACAUUCCUUCUUCCCUUUCCUCCCGAUUCUCUCUGUUCAUUGGAAGCGUUUCGUUUCCUUCCGAUUUCUCUCAAAUUCAAUCGACUGCUUCGACUUUGCUUCUCCGCUCGCUUCUCUGGUAAGGAUCUCCACUGCCGCUUUUUUUUUUUUUUUUCCAUUAAAGAUUCAUAUUGCAAAUUUUCUUCUUUAAUUUUGUCAAACAACUCUUUAAUAUUUGUGGUUCUUUUAAUAUUUGUGAUUCUUUUACGAGAUAAAACAUAAAAUCAUGUACUCUGAGUCAGAUCUGGAAUCCACCGUAACACUCAUUUAGGGAAAAGUCACCAAAAUCUAAGAUCCGUGUAAUCCUUUUUCGGUAACAAACGACCAAUAAAAAAUAUUAAAAAAGAAACCCAGAAAAUCCUCUGUGAAAAUAAAAAAACGAAAAGAGAUCAAAACCCUAGAUCUUGAAAUAAGACUGAUUACUUCUCCCUGGUUUUUCUGUAAUUAGGUUGUGUGGAGUUUUGGAUUGGAGAAUCUUGAAAUGAAUCUGUAAAAUGCAAUCUUUGUAAUGUUAUUAAGGUUUGAGCUCACCAUUACAACGUAAUGGCCUCAAACCCCAUGGAGGAGUCCUAAUCAUAAUGUAUCUUUGUUUUUUAACUGGGUACAAAUUGCAAUGGUGGUGGUUCUGCUAUUUGGGGUUUGAGGACUAAUUAUAAUGUAUAUAAUUUUCAUUUAGUUUGAGGACAAACUACAAUUGUAUAAUGGAUUGUAUUAUUACGGGUUCUCUGCAUAUUAUUAUGUUUGUUAUUUCAAUUAUUCGGGGCUUAUAGUGAAAUCCAAUGUAUAUUAUUUUUAUUGGAUGAGAAGCCUAUUGGGUUCUAUUAUUAUUAUAUAUAUUAUAUAUUAGUUGUACUCAAAUUAUGGGUUUUGGAUCUUGUGGUUGUAUUCCAUAUUACAAUCUGUAUGUAAUAUUUGUAGGCGUCAAGUCUGUUUAUUUAUCUUCUAAUAUUGUUAUUAAGUUUUGUUAUACUUUUUACAGGUUGUAUAUAAUAUUUAUAAGUUUUGAGCCUAUAGGAUUGUAUUUUUAUUAUUUUCGUCAUGAUAUUACCCACAUUAUUGUAUUUGAAUAAUGGAUUUCGGAUCAUUUGGUUGUAUUCCGUAUUACAAUAUAUAUGUAAUAUUCAUAGGUAUCAAGCCUAUUGAAUUGUUUUAAUAUUGUUACGAAAUUUUGUUAUAUUUUUUACUGGUUGUAUGUAAUAGUUAUAAAGUUCGAGUUUAUUGCGUUGUAAUAUUAUUAUUAUCAUGAUGAUACGACACACAAUAUUGUAUUUGAAUUAUGAGUUUCGGAUCAUUUGGUUGUAUUCCAUAUUACAAUAUGUAUGUAAUAUUCAUAGACAUCAAGCCUAUUGAAUUGUUUUAAUAUUGUUAUGAAAUUUUGUUAUAUUUUUUACGGAUCGUAUAUAAUAUUUAUAAGCUUUGAGCCUAUUGGGUUGUAUUAUUAUUAUUAUCAUCCUAAUAUUACAUACAUUAGUGUAUUUGAAUUAUAGAUUUCGGAUCAUUUGGUUGUAUUCAAUAUUACAAUAUAUAUGUAAUAUUCAUAGGUAUCAAGCCUAUUGAAUUAUUUUAAUAUUGUUACGAAGUUUUGUUAUAUUUUUUACGGAUUGUAUGUAAUAGUUAUAAGUUUCGAGCCUAUUUCGUUGUAAUAUUAUUAUUAUCACGAUGAUAUGACACAAUAUUGUAUUUGAAUUAUGAGUUUCGGAUCAUUUGGUUGUAUUCCAUAUUACAAUAUGUAUGUAAUAUUCAUAGGUAUAAAGCCUAUUGAAUUGUUUUAAUAUUGUUACGAAAUUUUGUUAUAUUUUUUACGGGUUGUAUGUAAUAGUUAUAAGUUUCGAGCCUAUUUCGUUGUAAUAUUAUUAUUAUUAUUAUGAUAUGACACACAAUAUUGUUUUUGAAUUAUGGGUUUCAAAUUUUUUAGUUUCAUUCAACAAUAUAAUGAAUGUAACGAAGCUCAUUGACUUGUAUUUUUUUUCUUAGAUAAUUAAACUAUAUUCUUAUUAUUACGAAGUUUAUUAACUUUUAUGGGUUUUAUAAGUUGCUAAACUCAAUUGUAUUAUUGUUAUUAUUAAUUUUUUUUUUAAAGUUGUGGGCCGAACUCAAAUUAUAAUUUGAUUUUAACCAAGUUUUAAGUGUAUGUUAUUUGUAUUGACAUGGAGCCAAAUGGGAUUGUAAUAAUAUUUUUGCGAUGAAUUUCAUUAUUGCUAUUAUUUAUGAUAUCUUAUGGAGGGUUGAACCGAAUUGUAAUGCAUAUUAUAUUUUUUUGAUGUGUUUGUAAAAUUUAAUUGCAUCUAAAAUUGUAUUGACCGACAACAAAGUUUAAUCUUCAAAUUUUAACAAGCAAAUAAGAUUAAAUUAAAACAUUAUAAUAUUAAAAAUGUUAUACUAAGACAUUAUCAAUUUACUUCUUCAAUUUGAUGGUAAAUAAGACUUAAAUUGAAAUAAAAAAUAAACUGAAUCUUGUUGGUGAACAUAAUUUCUUAGUUUGUAAAUAAGAAUGUUAAUUAUUUGACAUACAAGUAUAUUUAUACAGUAUAUUGUGCUAUAUCCGGUAAUUAUAAUGUAUAAUAUUUGUGUAAAACAAUUAUCGUGUAUUGGUUUGCUAGAAAAUAGUAAUAUAAUGAAUUGUAUUCUCAAUUUCAAUGAGUAUUUUUUUAGUGAGAUGAAAGUUGACGUAUUGUAAUAUUUUUAUCAGAAAGUUUCACCUACAAUUCGAUCAGAAAAAAUGAGUGCAACUACUUGCAGUUCAGUGAAAAAAAGAAAAAUUCCAAUGCAAAAACGUGAAACAAAAGAGCAGAGAGCUGUUACAUUCAGUAAAAGACGAACGGGUCUGUUUAACAAAGCAGCAGAAUUGUGUGUUCUCUGCAAUGCUCAGGUUGUAAUUUUGGUUUCUGCUCCUUUGGCCAAAGAAAAGUUUUAUACUUUUGCACACCCUAACAUCAAUCUUCUUCUCGACACAUUCCUCAAUAACCAUGUCUCUCAUCCCAUCAACAAUUACAAUAAUCUUUCUACUUCUUCCUCUUAUCAAAAUAUGGAGCAAUUAACUCCUAACAAUAAUGUGUCCAAGACCAAGAAGAGAAAGAGAGAGUCGGAAGAGUUUUGGUGGGAAAAUGAAGACUUUGAUGUUUACCAAACACCUGAAGAGGUGACAUCAAUCAUCGAGAAGUUAGAAAAGGUGAGAGAAAAUGUGGCGCUCAAACUUCAAAAAUUAUCAACUUCUAAUAAUCAAGAUGUUAGUAGUAGUCAUCAUCAAAACUAUCAUCUUCGGUGCUUUGCUGAAGAUAUGAUGAACAUUAAUAAUGAGUACAGUAAAGAGAGUGGUGAUCAAAGUCAGUUUAUGACAUCCGUUGUGUUUCAGAAUUUAUCAACUUCUACUUAUCAUGGUAGUUGCAUUGAUCAAAAUAUAGUGGACAUUGAUGGAUUCAAGAACAAUGUUGAUUUUAUGCAAAUGUUGCCUCUAAAAUCUACUAUGCUUACACACAAUACCAACAAUGGCAGCCAAGAUAUUCAGAAUUAUCACAAUGAUAUGGGUACUACAUUUGAAGCCCCAUUAUUCUUCCCUAAUGGCGUCGAAAAUUAUCAAGAUAUUAGUAGUGGUGAUCAUCAAAACUAUCAUCUUGGGUGCUUUGCUGAAAAUAUAAUGAAUAUUAAUCAUGAGUACAAUAAUGAAAGUGGCGAUCAGAGUCAGUUUAUGCCAUCUGUUGUGUUUCAAAAUUUAUCAACUUCUACUUAUCAAGAUGGUUGCAUUGAUCAAAAUAUGGUGAACGUUGAUGGAAACAAGAACAAUGUUGCUUUUAUGCAGAUGUUGCCUCUAAACUCUACUAUGUUUACAGACAAUACCAACAAUGGCACCCAAGAUAUUGAGAACUAUCACUAUGAUAUGGGUACUACAUUUGAACCCCCAUUAUUUUUCUCUAAUGGCAUCGAGAGAUGUGCUACGUCUCUUUGUAUUGGUGAUCAAAAUUUUAGUUGGAUGAAUGAUAAGAUCACUACUUCAUACAGUCAAAAUGAACAAUUUUCACCGUCCUUCUCCUCCAAUGACUUGGAUCACCAUAUCAAUACUUCUUUUGAAUGGGAGUUCAGAGAUGAGAAUCCUUCAUUUCUUCAAGAUAAUGCUACUGGAUUAGUUCCACUAUUUUCUCAUAGUGAUAAAGGCAUAGACAAGCAGAAUUUGUCUGAAUCAAAUUUUAAAGAUAAUAGUUUUUCAGUUACUGGAGGAACAACUUACAAUGACUUGUUUCUUGGUGACGACUAUGUUAAUUCUUCAACAAUGGAGGAUAACACUGAAUUUUUUUCAUUGUUGGAAUCUUUCUUUUCUAGUUGAUUGUAAGCUUUCUCUGUAUUUCCUUUGCAGUGUAAUAAAAUGUUCUUGUGAUCUCUCAAUUUUUUCUUUGGCAUAUUGAUCAUAGUUUAAUUCUUAUCAUCCCCUAAAUGAUGAAGUAAAUGUGUACGGAAUCAAUAUUUAUAGUCAUCAACUAUGAGAUUAAAAAAGAAAAAUUCAUACAAAUAUUUUAUACUCGACCAAUCAACCCCAAACUUAAAAAUCUCCCAAAUUAACUAGAAUUAAGAGUUAAUUUUAUUUUAUAUUUUAAAUUAAAUAGCUCUUAUUAUUUGGGUUCUUAAUUAGUUUUAAGUAUUUAAUUAAUUAUUUUUAAAAAAUAUUUAGAACAAAAUUUUAUUUAUUAUAAUAUAAAGAUAUCAGUAUUUUAUUUUAAAAAAAAGAUAUCAACAUUUAUAAUCACUAUCAUUUUUAAUUUCUUUCUUCAGUUGAAGAAAUAAAAAAAAAAUAAAAUAUAUUUAAAAUUUAUUAUUAAAUAUAUCAAAUCAUAAAAAUAUUUUAUAGAUUAAUGUUCGGGUAAAAAUUAAACCUAACGGACAUAAAUCAAUAUUUUACUAAAUAUAUGAAUUAAGCCAAACGAACAAGAAAUUUAUUUAUUUAAGCUUACCGGUACAGAUUUUAUCGCAUAAUCAUUCUAGGGAUGACUUAAAUUAAAAAUAUAUUUUUAUAAUAAUAUAUAUUUAAUUUAAAUAAUAUAUUUAUAUAUAAUAGAAAUUGAUUUAGUCAGAAAUCUAAUUGGAUAAAAAAUUUAAUUAAAUUUUAAAACCUACUCGGAUUCGAUAAAGUUUUAUAUUUUAAAAUUAUAAAACUAUACCGAAAUCAAAGUUUGUAAAAUUCACUCAAGACUCCAUCUAUUGUUACCCUAAACCAUGUUCAAACCAUAUGAGAAUUGAACUUUGUGAUUCAGCCAGUUGUUUUACUUAUGAUGGUAUAGAGCCAACGGUCCAAAAAGUUGAAAAAAAUUUGGAUGUAUCUUCUUCUAAAAAAAAUCACUUUACCCUACAAGUCCUUGUUUCUUUCUGAAAAUCUAUCUAGGUUUUACCAUGAAAAUGAUGAAGGCUGUGAAGAAGCUCAAAAUCUGGUCAAGAUCCAAGAAGAAAAGGAAGUACCUUGAGGAGCCCCACUACCCUGUUCCGAUGCACCAGUGUUGUUGCUGUUCAUGCUCCUCCGUCCAGUCCUCAGCUCCUCCAUUGCCGCCAUGGCCUGAUCAAUUCUCAUAUCAGAUUCAAGCUGAUGAAACAGAAGGUGUAGAAGAAAGUAAAUUCAUCCAUUCAAAAUUCCCUCAAGUAGACGAAGGUAUAAUCACGAGUAGGUCAAUGUAUCAGCAAUAUAUGGUUCAAAAUCCUGUGUAUGACAUGCCUGAGCCUGUUGUUGAGAUAGUUAGAAGAGAAAGAUCAGGUGGGUACGUUGUUAAUUCGUUAGCAUACAUCUUCUUCCUAUUUUUUUCUAAAAAAAUUCAGCAAUGGUAAAAAUAUGUUUUUGUACCUUUUUUUUUGUAAAAAAGAAUUUUCAGUCUUAAUUUUAUUGUACCUAAUAUUUUAAUGUAAUAUAAAGUUUUAAUAAAAAUUCAUACCUAACUUUGGUUACAUUCACACCAAACGCGGGCAAGAAAGAGCCCCAGCAAACUCCACUCUGUACGCUAUGAGCUUCUCUAUGCAAUUCUUUAUCUCUUUCUGACUAUUUGUUCUCUGUGUAUUGCUCUUGCAAAAAAGCCAAGCAAAUAUGAGAAUCAAUGAACAAAAAAUUAGUCCUCAAAGAUGCUCAGAUUUAAAAAUACGUAAAGCUGGUGAUUCCUAAUUAUAAUGAUUUUGCUUCCAGGGGAAAACCAUUCUAGCAUUCCAAUUAUUUUAUCUAAAUGUCCCGAGUCAUCCACGUCAUCGGGAACAACAAGAACUCCUAUAAAGCAUAUAAUUCUUUUUUAUCUUACUAAUCCCCUCAUCAACAUUGUUGAACUUGUAUUUCUAAAUCUUGAUAAAUCCAAAAGAAGUUGUUCUUGUAAGUGAAGCAAACCGUGGAAACUGUGCUGCAGUUGCUCUGACAUCUGCAAGAAAUCUUCUGUCCCUGAAUUUUUCAAAGUUGAUGUUAUAAACAGUCUUAGCAAAUAUCAUCUUCCCUGUCCCUCCAAUCCCACUUGCUAUGUCAACUCCAUUUGAUCCAUCUUGAGUUCAGGCUUGAUUUCUUCUCCAAGAUCAUCUCUUCCAACUAACUAUUGGGCGAAAUUGAACAGUGCCUCAUGCCUGCCUAGAAAAAAAAACGAAAGUUAUGAUUGCUUCCCAACUGCUGAAAUUUAGUAAAAAUCUCAACAAGCGGAGAACGUGGAGUUUUCCAAAUAACAGUUACAAACUAACCAAUUAAAUAUAAUUUAUUAUAUGCACAUUUAUCCAUGUAAAUUGAUCAUUUAAAUUUGAGAAGUAUGUUAUGGAGCACAUAUAAAAAUAAAAAUCCGUAAAACAGAGGAAACUUAUAUAUUUCACAAUGCUUUCGACAAAAUUAUGGCCGUGUCUCUAAACCCUCUGCUCUAGAAUUAACACAAAGAAAAUGCGUGGUAAUAGUUUGUAGUUUAUUGAGAAGAAAGCUGAGAUCAAGCUUACAUAUGUCACAAAAAUCAUUUCUCCCAAGUCAGCAACCUCCCUCGCAGCACCUCAGCUGUUGUAUUUUGUUCUUUACAUCUUUUAGGUGCUCUUCAUGUGCGGCAAAUGUUUCAGAAAAACUCCCUCGCAGUAUACUUCCUAACAUGUGUUGGAUCUACUUCAUAGAACACUGGCAAGUUAUCUGUUCAGUGGUUCUCCUGUGUUACAUGAUCUUACCUAGUUCAUCAGGAAACCACAGAGAAGAGGCACAAUUUUAGGAGAAGAUAAUUAUUUAUAUUGAGACUCCAAUGGCUUUUUCAAGUUAUUUUAUUCAUAUCCUUUCCUCUUUCAACCCCAUCAUCAUCUUUAGAUGUAUGAAUUCCUGCCCGCAGUAGGGCCCUAUAAAGGUGAUCCGUGAAGCUCCAGCACCUCAUAAACUUAAGAACAUAUACUAAGCAUAUCCAGAACCUGAGGAGGAAGCUCGCUGCUCUGCACUCGCUGCAUCCAUUGAUAACCAAAAAUUUCAGGAGUAUCGAUUGAAAGCAGAUCGGUGAUGAAUAGAUAAUAAAGCACCAAGGAUCGACAUAAAUUUGUUGGCUCAAGCAAAUCAAUUAUGAUAUUUUUUUGGAGGAAAUUUCCACUUUAACAAUCAUGAUAAGCUAGUGAGCUAAAUCACAUCUUACCAUUUGCCUUUAACAAAAUUUCCGUCUUCUUUAAUUACUCCAACAAUGCAUCUUAGCUUUUACAAGGUAUUAAUUAAUAACUACAUGUGAUAAAUACAGAGGACUUUUAGGUAUUCUUGAUUAGACCCUAGAAUUGAUCGGAUCCUAGAAUUCUCUUCUAGGACCAAAUAUCAUUUAAGUACCAUAACUUCAAACUACAUUAAAAAUUAUCCAUAAGAUUUUGAGUUACAUUCAAUAAGAUACUCUAAUCUUUAAUUAGUCUCCCAAUACAUCUAUCACCAUACAAAUACCUGAAGAAAAUCUCAUCCUUGACAAUCUAGCCAUGUAAAUGCUUCCUUUUAUAAAUGCCACCUUAAUUUAAGUUAGCAUAAUAAUUAGAAUGGGCUUUGCAAAACCUCCAGCCCCAUCCUCGUGCAUCAUCAUCUAUGAAAAAACCUAAUUGCCUUACUAAAAGCAAUUCACAAACUAAUUAAUAAUACUUAAUCUAUUAAUACAUCCUUUCUAGGAAAGCUUUCUGAAUAAAAAGAGCAAAUCCAUGUCUCAAGAAUCGAUUCCACAUAUAAAAUAAUUCUAAAAACGUUUUAUGUGUAUUAUCUAUCACUCACAUAUAAAAUUUGCUUCAUAUUCACAUAAACAACUCAGUAGUCAACCAAAUCUAUCAAUUGUCACUUAUAAAAAUUAUGACCUAAAAAUCCCUUCUAGUAUCUGUAUUCCCAUGUACUAGGUUAAUCUUAUAACUAGAGCAAAAAAGAUAAAUCACAUCAGAAUCCCGGAUGUAGAAACCUUACUCAAAUUUGGUCAAUAGGUAAAUGACAUUUGUGUGAGUGUUAUCUCUUGUGCACUAACAUGUAGUAACUGAUUAAGAAACAAAUUAUCCGCUUAGUGAAUCAACUUUGAUGGAGCCAAUCAAACUACAUGCUGGAAUUUUUCGGAUUUUAGACUCUGCCAUCGCUUUCCUCCAAUUAGCAGCAUCUCCCCACCUUUCCCCAACAGCACUUAUAUUUGACAACACCACAUAUCGGCCACAAUGUUUUGGCUGUAAUUCAAGGAGCUUCUUUCCUACUUCAUUUCCCAACUGAACGUCCCCAUGAAUCUUACAAGCACCAGAAAGAGCUCCCAAAACAGAGGCAUCAGGCAGCAAGGGCAUGCAAAGUACAAACUCAACUGCAUCUCUCAGAAGUCCUGCUCGGCCCAAGAGAUCAACAGCACAGCCAUAAUGCUCCAUUAUUGGUACAAACCCAUAUCGACUUGACACUUACAGAAACAACUUCAAACCCAAGUCAACAAGUUUUGCUCGAGCACAAGAUGUAAGAAUAGCAACAAAGGUAACCUCAUUGGAGCAAAAUCCUUGCACUUUCAUCUUCUCAAACAUACAUAGAGCUUGCUUCGCCCUGCCAUGACAGGCAAGUGAAGAAAUCAUUGCAUUCCAAGUGAAAACCUCUUUAACCUCUAUCCGAUUGAAUACUCUUUUUGCAGUCUCCAAACAACCUGCCUUUCCAUACAAAUCUACCAACGCAGCCCCCACGACAGCGCUCAAACUGAACCCAUUCUUAACAACAUAUCCAUGUAUCUGCUUCCUUUGAUAAAGACCAGUUCCAUCUAAAUUAGCACAAGAAGACAGCACAGUAACAAAUGCAGCCUCAUUAGACUUUACGGAACCGCGGACCACAUCCUCGUGAACCAUAAUCUUUGCAAAAAGUGGCAAUGCAUCAACAAAGCGUCCAUUCAUCACGAACCCAUUAAUAACACUCGUCCAUGAAACCACGUCCUUCCCGGGCAUGCUCUGGAAAUACAGAAAAGCAGAACCCAUGUCUCCAUUCCUCCCAAAAGCGUCAAGUAAAGCAUUACACGCUACAAUACAUGGAUGAGGAAUUUCCACAAACAUCUUACGUGCAGUGCGUAUGUCACACACUUCGGCGUCCACACUCACGGAUGAAGUUUGCACAAAUGGGUCGCAUAAAACACCCCAUUUGAGAGCAUGAGCAUGGAGAAUUGGGCCAGAUGAGGGAGAGCAAGAAGCAGCUUUGAUUAGAGACGGGAAAGUGAGAUGGUUUGGUGAAAGUCCGUGUGCAAUCAUGCGGGUGAAAAGUAGUAAAGAAGUACAAGAGAGUCCCGUAGAGAGAUAAGAUCAAAUGAGAGUGUUGUAAAUGAGAACGGUGUUCCAUGAAGAAGUGUGGUUGAGGAGAGAGCCGCGGGUGAUAAGAAGGGAAUGAAUCUGUUUGAUCUGGUUGGGACAGUGGAUGAAAUGCUGGAGAAGAAGCUCGGGACUUGAAAAUCCAGAAAACCCACCUGUUACCAGAAGCUUUAAAAUCAAAACUUGAUUAGAUGCCCGUUCUUGUCCACCAUCUGCCCAGUUCAUAUAUUAUUAUUUUUGGAUCAAAUUAACAUUUUUUUUUUCUCAUGCUUCUUUCAAUUCAUAUAUGUAUAUAUAUAUAUAUAUAAAUUUAAUUCCAACAAAAAAUGAAGAAAAUUCUUUUAUUUUACUAUUUAUUUUCUGUGUUUUAAAAUAAUAAUAAUUAUUAAAUUUUAUUAAACUUAUCGAGAAAGAUUGAUUGAUUUUAUUUAAUCUAUACAAUCAUAUUAUUAAUAAAUUAAAAAAAGUUCGAUUACAACUGUUUUUUAAUCUUUCUAAGUUUUCUAACGAAAAAUAAAUUCUACGCAGAGAAAAUCUUUUCUCGACAUAGGUUAAAUUUUUAUUCAAUUUUUAACACUGUGUAUAUUUAUUAAAAUCGAGUCUAAAAUAAUUAUGAACUCAACUUGAAAAAAAUGCUUUGACAUUAAUAAAAUGGAGAACAAAAUCAAUAUUUUAAACUAUAAAAUUUACAUAUUAAAAACUAGAAAAUAACCAACCCUAUCACCUAAAGAAAAGAAAGUGACAAUCACAAAUUACCAUAUUCAAUUCAUUUAUAAUAAUCAUAAAUUACCCUCUUCGAAAAUUCUUAUAUUUCACUUCUGUUCUUCUAUCUUCAUUUCUCCACUAAUUUUCCGUAAAGAUUAAUUUGCAAUCGUUAUGCUUGCAACAUCAUUAUGAAAAUUUUCUGCCAUUGUGCAAUAUUCUUGCAGUCAAUCGCUUCAGACUAUUCUAGUGCUUGAUCCGAUCAUCUUUUAUGCAGAAAUAAUAUAAUAAUACCCCACUCAUUUGGACUGUUGUUUGGAGAUUAUAAGCUUUAGAUAGCAUUUUUAUUAAGUGUUUUAAUUCAAUAAUUAAAACACUAAUUGAACAAAAACUCAAAGUUCUACAUAAGAAAAAAGAUUGACAGUCAAACUAUUACCAUAACAUUUGUAAGACACAUUUUUUGUGUAAAACUUUGAACCUUACAGGACUAAGGCAAAGUACAAGUUAAUCUAUUGUUGGUUCUGGGUGCUAAUAUAUGAAUGUUCCUGUAUAAGCCUAUGGGGAGUAAGUCGUGCAAGAGGUCAAAAGAAAGGGAACAUACGAUAUGGGAUUUUGUCUGUAACAGGAUUCUAGUGGACAUAUUGGAGCUGCUAGCGGUAGCUGCUGUUUUCCUCACAUGGUUUUAUGGAUCCUGUUUAUGUGGAGUAUGAUAUUUAGUGAAAAAUAUUUUAUCAAGAAAGAGUGAGACUUACCUUAUAAAGACUUUGGGUAUUACAGUUUUAUUGUUUUGUUUCGAUAAGAGAGUGCUUAGUGCUGGUUCAAGUUUUUGGUAAAGACUGAAAACUAGUCAGCUCCACAUUCCUUGCAUGAUAUUAAUCAAGGUCGAUAUGCUUUUCAUUCUCAAGUUGUUUUUCUUUUUUGUUCAUUUUAAUUUUUUUUACGAAUGUGUUAGAUAAGAUGGUAUGGUUAGCUUCUGUAUAUAAGGAAUAUAUACCUUUCAUCUGUUUUGAUUUUCACUACAUGAAUGUUUGAUUUGUGAGAAGCUUCUCCUGAAAGAGACUAUUGAAACAGUUAGCCUCUUUGGUUUUACCUUAUUUCAGCUUAUUCUUCUAUUGAUCUGAAUACAUGUUUAACCUGUUUUGUUAUGUUUUAUUUUUCUUUUCGAGAUUUUUCAUAAUUUUUUAUGUGAUUGUUCCUCUCUGAGUAAUCUAUUUUAUUAAAUAUUAGUGCUAUUUAAUUUAUUAUUUUAAAUUUAAUUUUUAGGAAAAAUAAAUAAUAAUUUUUAAAUAUAUAUUUUGUUUUGGUUUAAUUUUAAAAAUAAUAUUUUUUUUCUAGAAAAUUCUGUAAUUGAACAUCUCUUUUUUAAUUUAAAUUUGUAAUUUUAUGAUUAAUUUAUUAUUUUUAUGAUUUUUUUUUAUAUUUUUAAUUUGUUUUGUUAUACAUUAUUAUUUUGCUUGCAAAUUAUAGUUAUAAUUAUAAUUAAAUUAAUUUAACAGCCCCAACUCAUAACCUGCAAACGACAGCGUUUUGGAAGAGGUUAUUGGCGGGAAGGGGGGAGUGUUUUAAGGGAAUUUAGAAAGGUUUAGGGGCAAAAUUGGAAAUACAGCUGUUCCAACGGUCUUCUUCUCUCUAUAUAUAUAGCACCGACCACUCCCUCUCUCUACUCAGCUUUCAGACAGAUCACAUUCCUUCUUCCCUUUCCUCCCGAUUCUCUCUGUUCAUUGGAAACGUUUCGUUUCCUUCCGAUUUCUCUCAAAUUCAAUCGACUGCUUCGACUUUGCUUCUCCGCUCGCUUCUCUGGUAAGGAUCUCCACUGCCGCUUUCUUUUUUUUUUUUCCAUUAAAGAUUCAUAUUGCAAAUCUUCUUCUUUAAUUUUUUCAAAGAACUCUUUAAUGUUUGUGGUUCUCUUAAUAUUCGUGAUUCUUUUACGAGAUAAAACAUAAAAUCAUGUCCUCUGAGUCAGAUCUGGAAUCCACCGUAACACUCAUUUAGGGAAAAGUCACCAAAAUCUAAGAUCCGUGUAAUCCUUUUUCGGUAACAAACGACCAAUAAAAAAUAUUAAAAAAGAAACCCAGAAAAUCCUCUGUGAAAAUAAAAAAACGAAAAGAGAUCAAAACCCUAGAUCUUGAAAUAAGACUGAUUACUUCUCCCUGGCUUUUCUGUAAUUAGGUUGUGUGGAGUUUUGCAUUUGAGAAUCUUGAAAUGAAUCUGUAAAAUGCAAUCUUUAUAAUGUUAUUAAGGUUUGAGCUCACCAUUACAACGUAAUGGCCUCAAACCCCAUGGAGGAGUCCUAAUCAUAAUGUAUCUUUGUUUUUUAACUGGGUACAAAUUGCAAUGGUGGUGGUUCUGCUAUUUGGGGUUUGAGGACUAAUUAUAAUGUAUAUAAUUUUCAUUUAGUUUGAGGACAAACUACAAUUGUAUAAUGGAUUGUAUUAUUACGGGUUCUCUGCGUUAUUAUGUUUGUUAUUUCAAUUAUUCGGGGCUUAUAGUUGAAAUUCCAAUGUAUAUUAUUUUUAUUGGAUGAGAAGCAUAUUGGGUUCUAUUAUUAUUAUAUAUAUUAUAUAUUUUUUCAAUUAAUUGUACUCAAAUUAUGGGUUUUGGAUCUUGUGGUUGUAUUCCAUAUUACAAUAUAUAUGUAAUAUUUGUAGGUGUCAAGUCUGUUUAUAGUUGAAAUUCCAAUGUAUAUUAUUUUUAUUGGAUGAGAAGCCUAUUGGGUUCUAUUAUUAUUAUAUAUAUUAUAUAUUUUUUCAAUUAGUUGUACUCAAAUUAUGGGUUUUGGAUCUUGUGGUUGUAUUCCAUAUUACAAUAUGUAUGUAAUAUUUGUAGGCGUCAAGUCUGUUUAUUUAUCUUAUAAUAUUGUUAUUAAGUUUUGUAAUAUUUUUUACAGGUUGUAUAUAAUAUUUAUAAGUUUUGAGCCUAUUGGAUUGUAUUUUUAUUAUUUUCGUCAUGAUAUUACCCACAUUAUUGUAUUUGGAUAAUGGAUUUCGGAUCAUUUGGUUGUAUUUCAUAUUAUAAUAUAUAUGUAAUAUUCAUAGGUAUCAAGCCUAUUGAAUUGUUUUAAUAUUGUUACGAAGUUUUGUUAUAUUUUUUAUAGGUUGUAUGUAAUAUUUAUAAGCUUUGAGCCUAUUGGAUUGUAUUUUUAUUAUUUUCGUCAUGAUAUUACCCACAUUAUUGUAUUUGAAUAAUGGAUUUCGGAUCAUUUGGUUGUAUUCCAUAUUACAAUAUAUAUGUAAUAUUCGUAGGUAUCAAGCCUAUUGAAUUGUUUUAAUAUUGUUACGAAGUUUUGUUAUAUUUUUUACGGGUUGUAUGUAAUAGUUAUAAAUUUCGAGCCUAUUUCGUUGUAAUAUUAUUAUUAUCACGAUGAUAUUACCCACAUUAUUGUAUUAGAAUAAUAGAUUUUGGAUCAUUUGGUUGUAUUCCAUAUUACAAUAUAUAUGUAAUAUUCAUAG
Molecule: long non-coding RNA, 36438 nt
Filed under: Carica papaya (papaya)
Lineage: Eukaryota; Viridiplantae; Streptophyta; Magnoliopsida; Brassicales; Caricaceae
Description: long non-coding RNA (CPAP_LNC004980)
Source: RNAcentral